This is a long non-coding RNA of Homarus americanus (American lobster), 1054 nucleotides long. RefSeq lists it as uncharacterized. The record is from RefSeq and is a predicted model, not a curated record. Lineage: Eukaryota; Metazoa; Arthropoda; Malacostraca; Decapoda; Nephropidae. The transcript has 3 exons.
UGUGGUAGCAUGGCCAGGUGUAGUUCACUCUUAAACAUGUGGUAGCAUGGCCAGGUGUAGUUCACUCUUAAACAUGUGGUAGCAUGGCCAGGUGUAGGUCACUCUUAAACAUGUGGUAGCAUGGCCAGGUGUAGUUCACUCUUAAACAUUUGGUAGCAUGGCCAGGUGUAAUUCACUCUUAAACAUGUGGUAGCAUGGCCAGGUGUAGUUCACUCUUAAACAUUUGGUAGCAUGGCCAGGUGUCGUUUACUCUUAAACAUUUGGUAGCAUGGCCAGGUGUCGUUCACUCUUAAACAUUUGGUAGCAUGGCCAGGUGUAGUUCACUCUUAAACAUGUGGUAGCAUGGCCAGGUGUCGGUCACUCUUAAACAUUUGGUAGCAUGGCCAGGUGUAGUUCACUCUUAAACAUUUGGUAGCAUGGCCAGGUGUAGUUCACUCUUAAACAUUUGGUAGCAUGGCCAGGUGUAGGUCUCAUACAGUAUACUCUUGAUUUAAUGCAAGGAAUUAUAUUUUUUAUUUUUUGCUCAAUUUAGUGACUAGUUCGCUAAAUCAAGAUUAAUUCCGUUAAUACGCUCACACCUACAGAGACACCACAGACACAUGAUACAGUAAAACCUACUUCAGCCUACGGUGAGUGUACUAAAUGUAUAAAAUGAUAAAUAAUGAUAUAAAAAGCACCAUAUAAGAUUCACCCCCCGUUUUAGCAGGGAGUAUUUAGGAAACUGUUGCCGGUAACAUAUAAAACCACACAGGAAAAGGGAAACACUGCUUUAUUCAAAGCAUCUUCAGAGGCAACUGAAUUUGCAGUGACUGAGAGAGGCUUAUAUACAAUGAGUGGCCUUACAUAACAUAGGUCAGGUCAAUAACAUGGGAUCCACUAAUCCACACACCACCUCCACCACAAACAAAAGAAGAGUUUAUAAAAUAAAUGGGUGACAACAACAGGUUAGGUAAAAAACAUGAGACCCACUCAUCAUCUAUACUACAUCCACCUCAAAUGCUUUCAAAGCAUUUUUAAACUCGGGACAGUUAUUAUUUAUUAACUAAUAUCCUAA